This 473-nucleotide ribosomal RNA is filed under the name uncultured bacterium. RNAcentral describes it as "bacterial SSU rRNA". It matches the Rfam family "Bacterial small subunit ribosomal RNA", at positions 335 to 801 of the family's 1533-position model. The record is from RNAcentral.
ACUCCUACGGGAGGCAGCAGUAGGGAAUCUUCCACAAUGGGCGCAAGCCUGAUGGAGCAACACCGCGUGAGUGAAGAAGGGUUUCGGCUCGUAAAGCUCUGUUGUUAAAGAAGAACACGUAUGAGAGUAACUGUUCAUACGUUGACGGUAUUUAACCAGAAAGUCACGGCUAACUACGUGCCAGCAGCCGCGGUAAUACGUAGGUGGCAAGCGUUAUCCGGAUUUAUUGGGCGUAAAGAGAGUGCAGGCGGUUUUCUAAGUCUGAUGUGAAAGCCUUCGGCUUAACCGGAGAAGUGCAUCGGAAACUGGAUAACUUGAGUGCAGAAGAGGGUAGUGGAACUCCAUGUGUAGCGGUGGAAUGCGUAGAUAUAUGGAAGAACACCAGUGGCGAAGGCGGCUACCUGGUCUGCAACUGACGCUGAGACUCGAAAGCAUGGGUAGCAAACAGGAUUAGAUACCCUGGUAGGAUAGCG